UACGGAGGAUCCGAGCGUUAUCCGGAUUUAUUGGGUUUAAAGGGUGCGCAGGCGGGAGAUUAAGUCGGCGGUGAAAUUUUGCAGCUCAACUGUAAAAGUGCCUUCGAAACUGGUUUCCUUGAGUGUAGAUGAAGUAGGCGGAAUUUGUGGUGUAGCGGUGAAACGCAUAGAUAUCACGAGGAACUCCGAUUGCGCAGGCAGCUUACUAAACUACUACUGACGCUCAGGCACGAAGGCGUGGGGAUCAAACAGGAUUAGAUACCCUGGUAGU
RNAcentral lists this ribosomal RNA (271 nucleotides) under uncultured prokaryote. RNAcentral's name for it is "partial 16S ribosomal RNA". It matches the Rfam family "Bacterial small subunit ribosomal RNA", at positions 524 to 794 of the family's 1533-position model. The record is from RNAcentral.